CAAGAGAGUGGGACCUGAUGACACCACCAUCUCCACCAGCUGCGGCUAAAUCCCAAUCACCACCUGGGAUGAAAUGGGACCAAACUUUAACAACAGCAAUAACAAGAGCUCCAGCCCAUCUCAACAACCUUUUGCUCUUUCCCCCAAGAAGUCCACUGAUUAUCACUUUUAAUACCAUUUAAGAGACUCUCAAUCAGGGGGGUUCCUUCUAAAUUGAAAGUGAACAAGGCAGAGAAAAAGAAACAGUGAGCCCACCUCACAAACGAACGAUCCAACAGUUUGUUUUCCAAAGAGACACAGGACAUGCAAAUGUGUUUACUGGGAAAUGGUACCUUCCCAUCUUUCAGCUUCCAAGUGUAAAGUACCUUUUUUCUUAGAGAUCUAGUGAUCAGGCUUUUAUCAUUGGGAAAGCUUCAAAUUACAUUACAACUAUUUUGUGAAUAACACC
Molecule: long non-coding RNA, 448 nt
Organism: Mauremys mutica (yellowpond turtle)
Lineage: Eukaryota; Metazoa; Chordata; Testudines; Geoemydidae
Exons: 3
Source: RefSeq, a predicted model, not a curated record